RNAcentral lists this ribosomal RNA (2979 nucleotides) under Triticum aestivum (bread wheat). RNAcentral's name for it is "partial small subunit ribosomal RNA". The record is from RNAcentral. Lineage: Eukaryota; Viridiplantae; Streptophyta; Magnoliopsida; Poales; Poaceae.
AUGUACUUCAUGUGUGCCAACACCAUCGUGCUCUGGAGCGGCCCGCUUGCCAUGACCGUGCUCGUGUUCGGCACCUGCGUGCUGACAGGUGUCAAGCUCGACGCUGGCAAGGUGUUCACAGCCACCGCGUUCUUUCGGAUGCUCGAUGGACCUAUGCAGAGCUUCCCGGAGGCGAUCGCCGCUGUGACGCAGGCGACCGUGUCGCUUGGAAGGCUUGACAGGUAUCUGCUUGAUGCAGAGCUCGCUGACACUACAGUGGAGCAUGUCCUUGAUGCUGAUACUGGCCCGGACCGAGUGGUCGUGGAGGUGCACGAUGGCAUGUUCGCGUGGGACGUGAGGGGCAAGAAGGAGAAUGAAAAGGAAGAAGAGGAAAAUGAUGACAGUGAAGGUGAGGAGGAUGAGAGAAUUGUGGAGGAGGCACCAGUGCUAGAGACAGUGCUGAAGGGGAUUAGUAUGACGGUGAGGAAAGGCGAGCUUGCGGCGGUGGUUGGAAUGGUCGGGUCCGGCAAGUCGUCACUGCUCUCCUGCAUUAUGGGGGAGAUGGACAAGGUCUCAGGCAAAGUAAGGGUAUGUGGUAGCACUGCAUAUGUUGCACAGACAGCUUGGAUCCAAAAUGGGACCAUUCAAGAGAAUAUCUUAUUCGGUCAGCCAAUGGAUGCUGAAAGAUACAAGGAGGUUACACGAUCUUGCUGUCUGCAAAAGGAUUUGGAAAUGAUGGAAUUUGGUGACCGGACUGAAAUAGGAGAGAGAGGGAUCAAUCUCAGUGGUGGGCAGAAACAGCGCAUUCAGCUUGCCAGAGCAGUUUAUCAGAAUUGCGAUGUAUAUCUCCUUGAUGAUGUCUUCAGUGCUGUUGAUGCUCACACUGGUUCCUAUAUCUUUAAGGAAUGUCUAAGGGGGCUGCUCAAGGGAAAGACCAUCUUGCUUGUUACUCACCAAGUGGAUUUCUUGCAUAAUGUGGACAACAUAUUUGUCAUGAAAGAUGGUAUGAUUGCACAGUCAGGAAAGUUUGACGAGUUACUAGAGGCAGGCUCAGGCUUUUCAGCUCUUGUUGCUGCUCAUGAUAGUUCAAUGGAACUGGUGGAACAGAGUCGACAAGUAGAGAAGACUGAACAUUCUCAGCCUGCAGUAGUCAGAAUCCCAUCUCUUCGCUCUAGAUCCAUUGGAAAGGGUGAGAAGGUGAUCGUUGCACCAGAAAUAGAAGCAGCUACUUCUAAGAUUAUACAAGAAGAGGAAAGAGAGAGUGGCCAAGUAAGUUGGCGUGUGUACAAGCUAUACAUGACAGAGGCUUGGGGUUGGUGGGGAGUUGUGGGCAUAUUUGGAUUAUCAUUGGUGUGGCAAGCUUCUGAUAUGGCUAGUGACUAUUGGCUGUCAUAUGAAACAUCAGGCGGCAUCCCAUUUAAUCCUUCACUGUUUAUCGGAGUGUAUGUUGCCAUAGCUGGUGUUUCAAUGGUACUCCAAGUAAUCAAGACUUUUCUUGAGACGGUUAUGGGACUUCAAACAGCUCAGAUCUUUUUCAGGAAGAUGUUUGACAGCAUUUUGCAUGCCCCAAUGUCAUUUUUUGACACCACUCCUUCAGGAAGGAUUCUUAGUCGGGCAUCAUCUGACCAAACAACUAUCGAUGUUGUGCUGGCAUUUUUCGUUGGCCUGACAAUUUCAAUGUACAUUUCAGUAUUGAGCACCAUAGUUGUUACUUGUCAGGUUGCCUGGCCCUCAGUUAUAGCUGUAGUUCCGCUUCUGCUAUUGAACAUUUGGUACAGGAACCGCUAUCUUGCAACUUCUCGGGAGCUAACUCGACUUGAAGGAGUAACCAAGGCACCGGUUAUCGAUCACUUUACUGAGACCGUUGUAGGUGCUACAACCAUACGAUGUUUUAAGAAGGAAAAUGAAUUUUUCCAGGAGAAUCUAGAAAGGAUCAAUUCAAGUUUGCGCAUGUACUUCCACAAUUAUGCAGCAAAUGAGUGGCUUGGGUUCCGACUGGAGCUGAUUGGAACACUCGUACUGUCAAUCACUGCUUUCCUGAUGAUCAGCUUGCCCAGCAAUUUUAUCAAGAAAGAAUUUGUUGGCAUGUCCCUUUCGUAUGGCCUUUCCCUCAAUUCUCUGGUGUACUUUGCAAUAUCGAUCAGCUGUAUGUUGGAAAAUGAUAUGGUUGCUGUAGAGAGGGUAAAUCAGUUCAGCACUCUUCCUUCUGAGGCAGCAUGGAGAAAAGAGGAUCAUCUUCCUCCGAAUUGGCCCACACAUGGAGAUAUUGACAUCAGCGAUCUAAAGGUUAGGUAUCGACCAAAUACACCUCUAAUUCUGAAGGGCAUUAAUGUGAGCAUUAGAGGUGGUGAAAAGAUAGGAGUUAUAGGAAGGACAGGCAGUGGAAAAUCAACUUUGAUUCAAGCACUGUUCAGGCUUGUAGAACCUGCAGAGGGGAAGAUGAUCAUUGAUGGAGUAGACCUAUGUGCAUUGGGUCUGCAUGAUCUUAGGUCCCGUUUCGGCAUAAUUCCCCAGGAGCCAGUUCUCUUUGAAGGGACGAUUCGAAGUAACAUUGAUCCAGUUGGCCAGUAUUCAGAUUCUGAAAUAUGGCUGGCUCUGGAGCGUUGCCAACUGAAAGAUGUGGUAGCUUCAAAAGCUGAAAAGCUCGAUGCUCUAGUGGCCGAUAGCGGGGAGAACUGGAGCAUAGGCCAAAGACAGCUUCUGUGCCUUGGCCGUGUGAUAUUAAAGCAGAACCAAAUCUUACUUAUGGACGAGGCAACUGCUUCAGUUGAUUCUCAAACCGACGCUACGAUUCAGAAGAUCACCCGAGAACAAUUCUCGUCAUGUACUAUUAUCAGCAUUGCACACAGGAUACCGACAGUCAUGGACUGUGAUCGAGUUUUGGUGCUGGACGCAGGUCUGGUAAAGGAGUUCGAUGCACCAUCGAGGUUGCUCGAACAACCGUCAUCCCUCUUCGGGGCGAUGGUCCAGGAGUACGCCGACCGCUCGGCCAACCUCUAG